GAUGAACGCUGGCGGCGUGCCUAAUACAUGCAAGUCGAGCGAACGGACGAGAAGCUUGCUUCUCUGAUGUUAGCGGCGGACGGGUGAGUAACACGUGGAUAACCUACCUAUAAGACUGGGAUAACUUCGGGAAACCGGAGCUAAUACCGGAUAAUAUUUUGAACCGCAUGGUUCAAAAGUGAAAGACGGUCUUGCUGUCACUUAUAGAUGGAUCCGCGCUGCAUUAGCUAGUUGGUAAGGUAACGGCUUACCAAGGCAACGAUGCAUAUCCGACCUGAGAGGGUGAUCGGCCACACUGGAACUGAGACACGGUCCAGGCUCCUACGGGAGGCAGCAGUAGGGAAUCUUCCGCAAUGGGCGAAAGCCUGACGGAGCAACGCCGCGUGAGUGAUGAAGGUCUUCGGAUCGUAAAACUCUGUUAUUAGGGAAGAACAUAUGUGUAAGUAACUGUGCACAUCUUGACGGUACCUACUCAGAAAGCCACGGCUAACUACGUG
RNAcentral lists this ribosomal RNA (497 nucleotides) under uncultured bacterium. RNAcentral describes it as "partial 16S ribosomal RNA". It matches the Rfam family "Bacterial small subunit ribosomal RNA", at positions 28 to 507 of the family's 1533-position model. The record is from RNAcentral.